Molecule: ribosomal RNA, 1316 nt
Filed under: metagenome
Description: bacterial LSU rRNA
Rfam family: Bacterial large subunit ribosomal RNA
Source: RNAcentral
GGGAGCAACCUAGUUGUGCGUGUGUAAAGGUAGUGCCAAGAAAAGCGAUGAUCAUGUUGAAAAUCAAUUCCCGGUACCCGAAACCGACACAGGUGGGCAAGUAGAGAAUACUAAGGGGCGCGAGGUAAAUCUCUCCAAGGAACUCGGCAAAAUGACCCCGUAACUUAGGGAGAAGGGGUGCCACCGAGAGGUGGUCGCAGUGAAGAGGCCCAGGCGACUGUUUAGCAAAAACAUAGGUCUCUGCAAACUCGAAAGAGGAGGUAUAGGGGCUGACGCCUGCCCAGUGCCGGAAGGUUAAAGAAGUUGGUCAGUCUUAGGAUGAAGCUAGCGACUGAAGCCCCGGUGAACGGCGGCCGUAACUAUAACGGUCCUAAGGUAGCGAAAUUCCUUGUCGGGUAAGUUCCGACCCGCACGAAAGGCGUAACGAUCUGGGCGCUGUCUCGGAGAGAGGCUCGGCGAAAUAGGAUUGUCUGUGAAGAUACGGACUACCUGCAUUUGGACAGAAAGACCCUAUGAAGCUUUACUAUAGCUUGGAAUUGUGUUCGGGCUUCCUGUGCGCAGGAUAGGUGGGAGGCGUAGAAGGUAUUCUUGUGGGGAUACUGGAGCCAACGGUGAGAUACCACUCUCAGGAGGCUAGAAUUCUAACUUAAUUAAGGACAGUUUCAGGUGGGUAGUUUGACUGGGGCGGUCGCCUCCAAAAAGGUAACGGAGGCGUACAAAGGUUCCCUCAGACUGGUUGGAAAUCAGUCGAAGAGUGCAAAGGCAGAAGGGAGCUUGACUGCGAGAAGUACAGUUCGAGCAGGGUGGAAACACGGUCUUAGUGAUCCGACGGUGCUGUGUGGAAGGGCCGUCGCUCAACGGAUAAAAGUUACUCUAGGAUAACAGGCUGAUCUCCCCCAAGAGUUCACAUCGACGGGGAGGUUUGGCACCUCGAUGUCGGCUCAUCGCAACCUGGGGCGGAAGUACGUCCCAAGGGUUGGGCUGUUCGCCCAUUAAAGCGGUACGUGAGCUGGGUUCAGAACGUCGUGAGACAGUUCGGUCCAUAUCCGAUGUAGGCGUGAGAAUAUUGAGAGGAGCCUUCCUUAGUACGAGAGGACCGGGAAGGACGCACCGCUGGUGUACCUGUUAUGAUGCCAAUUGUAAACGCAGGGUAGCCAAGUGCGGAGAGGAUAACCGCUGAAAGCAUCUAAGUGGGAAGCCCACCUCAAGAUGAGUAUUCUGGUGUAAGGUCACGGGAAGACGACCCGUAAAUAGGCACGAGGUGGAAGUGCAGAGAUGUAUGAAGCCGAAGUGUACUAAUAGACCGUCGGCUUGAC